GUUACGACGACUAAAAUAUAUCCGCUGAUGGAAUUUGAUACAAAGAAAUGGAAAGUCAAUAUUUGGGAGCCUGAAACCAUUUUCUUUUGUUGUAAAGUAUUGUUGCCAACCCACCCGCAAUUUUACUAAUGUGUACUAUCGUUUGUCUGUUUGUCUUUUUCAUUUUUAGCCAUGGCGUUGUCAGUUUGUUUUAGAUUUCUGAUUUUGACUGUCCCUUUGGUAUCUUAUGUCCCUCUGUUUUUUAAUCUCUAGAUGUAAGUCAAAAUAUAAUGCAGACUUAACCUUAUCUGUAGGGGUGAGCAGCUGAGACAUCAAAUUCCCCCUUUUCAUAUAUGUGACCCGCCAUGACAUUUUCAGGAUUAUGGAGGUAGAACGUCAUUGUUAGAAAAAUUAUAAAAUGAUAAAUAUCGAGAUUCAAUGAAAUACGUAUUUUUGAAG
This 438-nucleotide long non-coding RNA is filed under the name Mytilus galloprovincialis (Mediterranean mussel). Lineage: Eukaryota; Metazoa; Mollusca; Bivalvia; Mytilida; Mytilidae. The record is from RNAcentral.